This 253-nucleotide ribosomal RNA is filed under the name uncultured bacterium. Its description in RNAcentral is "partial 16S ribosomal RNA". It matches the Rfam family "Bacterial small subunit ribosomal RNA", at positions 524 to 776 of the family's 1533-position model. The record is from RNAcentral.
UACGUAGGGUGCAAGCGUUAAUCGGAAUUACUGGGCGUAAAGCGCGCGCAGGCGGUUUUGUAAGUCUGACGUGAAAUCCCCGGGCUCAACCUGGGAAUUGCGUUGGAGACUGCAAGGCUGGAGUCUGGCAGAGGGGGGUAGAAUUCCACGUGUAGCAGUGAAAUGCGUAGAGAUGUGGAGGAACACCGAUGGCGAAGGCAGCCCCCUGGGUCAAGCCUGACGCUCAUGCACGAAAGCGUGGGGAGCAAACAGG